Long non-coding RNA from Saccostrea cuccullata (small rock oyster), 324 nucleotides. RefSeq lists it as uncharacterized. Lineage: Eukaryota; Metazoa; Mollusca; Bivalvia; Ostreida; Ostreidae. The transcript has 3 exons. The record is from RefSeq and is a predicted model, not a curated record.
UUACUCUGAAAGAAUUUUCCAUACAAGGUUCUGUACUGGAAUGAUACCGAGAAGACGGACAGCAGCAUAUUUGAGCUAACAGAAAGAGAAAUCAAUACAGACAUCAAAGAAGGGAAUUUAUUUUUCAAAGACACAGGAGCAAAAUUGGAUCACAGUUAUAGCACAUUUUGAAGCAGACUAUAAGGUAUGCCUUACAGAGUUACCUUCAAAAUGUUAUUAAAUUUUAUUGGAGUUAUUCCUCUUUGGUAACAUUAGUGGUGUAAUUUUAUCUAUAUAUGGAUCUAAUUUACAUAUUAAUUAGCAAACAACCAAUGAAAAUCUAUU